Molecule: long non-coding RNA, 892 nt
Filed under: Pan troglodytes (chimpanzee)
Lineage: Eukaryota; Metazoa; Chordata; Mammalia; Primates; Hominidae
Description: long non-coding RNA NONPTRT012431
Source: RNAcentral
GGGAAUUUGUGAGGUAGGCCGGAAGUGGUGUUGCGGAGGGAACUGUGGGGAGAGCAGAGGGGCAGCUCUGCUGGAGAGACCUGAGGCUUGCAUCGCUGGGCCCGGCCGGGUCGCUGCGGCUGGGCUGGAGGUCAAGGAUGCAUUCCAGGAAAGUUCUAUAAAAAUAUACCAUCAACUCCAACCUGAUAUUUGACCUAGCCAUGGAAAACCUCAUUGGCUCCUCACUGGAUCAGACCAUAAAAAUGAUCCAGGAAUGAAAAUCUAAGAUAAAUUCCCACCACUUCAAGAUGUUCUUAUACAAGUCAACAGUCUAGCAGAUCAGCCAGUCUCUUUCAUCAUCAAGCAGACAUACUCAAGAAAGAGGAAUAGUGAAGUGAAAUACACAGAAGCAUGUUCAAGUUCAUCUGUUGAAUCUGGAAUUGUGAAUAGUGACAAUAUUGAGAAAAAUACUGACUCCAAUCUGCAAACUUCAACUUCAUUUGAGCCACAUUUCAAAAAGAAAAAAAAGAAAAAUUUGAAACAUUAAGGGAAAACAGUUGGGUAAAAGAUCCAUUUGCUUUUCGAAACCCUGAAUCAAUAAUUGAGCUAAACUUGGUGCCUGAAGAAGAGAAUGAAUUAUUGCAGCUUAGUUCUUCAUAUACAUUGAAGAAUGAUUAUGAAACCUUAAGUUUAUCAGCAUUUUGGAUGAAGGUAAAGGAAGACUUUCCAUUGUUAAGUAGAAAGAGUGUCCUGCUAUUGCUACCAUUCACAACAACUAGUUUGUGUGAACUAGGGUUUUCCAUCUUAACGCAGUUAAAAACAAAGGAAAGAAAUGGGCUGAAUUGUGCAGCAGCUAUGCGGGUAGCAUUAUCUUCCUGUGUUCCAGACUGGAAUGAACUUAUGAACAGGCAAG